UACGUAGGGAGCAAGCGUUGUCCGGAAUCAUUGGGCGUAAAGCGCGCGUAGGUGGCCUCAUAAGUCCGCUGUGAAAGUCAAAAGGCUCAACCUUUGAAAGCCGGUGGAUACUGUGAGGCUAGAGUACGGAAGAGGCGAGUGGAAUUCCUGGUGUAGCGGUGGAAUGCGCAGAUAUCAGGAGGAACACCAAUAGCGAAGGCAGCUCGCUGGGACGUUACUGACGCUGAGACGCGAAAGCGUGGGGAGCAAACAGG
This 254-nucleotide ribosomal RNA is filed under the name uncultured bacterium. RNAcentral's name for it is "partial 16S ribosomal RNA". It matches the Rfam family "Bacterial small subunit ribosomal RNA", at positions 524 to 776 of the family's 1533-position model. The record is from RNAcentral.